RNAcentral lists this ribosomal RNA (219 nucleotides) under uncultured bacterium. RNAcentral's name for it is "partial 16S ribosomal RNA". It matches the Rfam family "Bacterial small subunit ribosomal RNA", at positions 28 to 247 of the family's 1533-position model. The record is from RNAcentral.
GACGAACGCUGGCGGCGUGCUUAACACAUGCAAGUCGAGCGGUAAGGCCCUUUCGGGGGUACACGAGCGGCGAACGGGUGAGUAACACGUGGGUGACCUGCCCUCAGCUCUGGGAUAACGCCCGGGAAACUGGGUCUAAUACCGGAUAUGACUCCAUGACGCAUGUUGUGGGGUGGAAAGCCUUGUGCGGCUGAGGAUGGGCCCGCGGCCUAUCAGCUU